RNAcentral lists this ribosomal RNA (489 nucleotides) under uncultured bacterium. Its description in RNAcentral is "partial 16S ribosomal RNA". It matches the Rfam family "Bacterial small subunit ribosomal RNA", at positions 28 to 506 of the family's 1533-position model. The record is from RNAcentral.
GAUGAACGCUAGCGAUAGGCUUAACACAUGCAAGUCGAGGGGCAGCAUGGUCUUAGCUUGCUAAGACUGAUGGCGACCGGCGCACGGGUGCGUAACGCGUAUGCAACUUGCCUCACAGAGGGGGAUAACCCGUCGAAAGACGGACUAAUACCGCGUACACUCCAUCUUGGGCAUCCAAGGUAGAGGAAAUGAAAUUCGCUGUGAGAUAGGCAUGCGUCCCAUUAGCUAGUUGGUGAGGUAACGGCUCACCAAGGCGACGAUGGGUAGGGGAACUGAGAGGGUGAACCACCACACUGGUACUGCGACACGGCCCAGACUCCUACGGGGGGCAGCAGUGAGGAAUAUUGGUCAAUGGUCUAGCGCCUGAACCAGCCACGUCGAGUGAAGGACGACGCUCUUAUUGUGUAUAAACUUCUUUAAUACGGGAAUAACACGGGUCACGUUUGACUCCCUCCGUGUCCCGUAUGAAAAAGCCUCGGCUACCUCCGU